Molecule: unclassified non-coding RNA, 525 nt
Filed under: Hevea brasiliensis (rubber tree)
Lineage: Eukaryota; Viridiplantae; Streptophyta; Magnoliopsida; Malpighiales; Euphorbiaceae
Source: RNAcentral
CUCUCCUCGAGAAAGUGAUGCACAUUCUCUCUCAUGAAAGGCACAAAUACCGCGAAAUCAUAGCAAUUUCGCGACCCGCCCCGACUCCGAUAUGGACAUAAACGGUUCCUCCCUAUUCCGUCACCGGAAAACGGCGUCCACUGACCGAUUCCUCAGCGCCUACCCCCGUGCACCGCGACAGAACACCGGGACCACCACCUACGAAAGCGAAGAAAACGAGCUCAAUGAGGACGAUAUAUUCUCCACUGGCGACUUUUCCGAAGCUUCCAACCACCACCAUCACCCCAACUCUCACAAUAGUCCUCCCUCCUCCAACUCCUCUCUGCGCCACCACCAGCUCCAUUCCCAUAGCCAUAAAGCCUUUCCCCAGCCAGAAUCUUUCGGCAUCCUGGCGGCACUUACGGAGCAUAAAACCAACCCCCACCACCAUUUGUACCAGAAAACAGCGCUUUCUUCGCCCUCGUCAUCCACCUCGUCCUCCUCAACGACCUCCUCUUCUCGUUUCAUUCCUUCUAUCCCUAAGCC